Molecule: ribosomal RNA, 253 nt
Filed under: uncultured bacterium
Lineage: Bacteria
Description: partial 16S ribosomal RNA
Rfam family: Bacterial small subunit ribosomal RNA
Source: RNAcentral
UACGUAGGGUGCGAGCGUUGUCCGGAAUUAUUGGGCGUAAAGAGCUCGUAGGCGGUUUGUCACGUCUGCUGUGAAAACUGGAGGCUCAACCUCCAGCUUGCAGUGGGUACGGGCAGACUAGAGUGCGGUAGGGGAGAUUGGAAUUCCUGGUGUAGCGGUGGAAUGCGCAGAUAUCAGGAGGAACACCGAUGGCGAAGGCAGAUCUCUGGGCCGUAACUGACGCUGAGGAGCGAAAGCGUGGGGAGCGAACAGG